Sarcophilus harrisii (Tasmanian devil) is the source of this 3858-nucleotide long non-coding RNA. RefSeq lists it as uncharacterized. NCBI's taxonomy places the organism in Eukaryota, Metazoa, Chordata, Mammalia, Dasyuromorphia, Dasyuridae. The transcript has 4 exons. The record is from RefSeq and is a predicted model, not a curated record.
UAAGUAUUGAAGUUAAAAAAAAUUCUCAGUGACCCGUGAGCAAAUUUCAUCUAGUCUAGUCAAAUUAAUUCAACAAAUAUUUAAUAAAUGCCUACUAUGUGGCAGGUAUUUUGCCAAGAGCUGAGGAUGAAAAAGACCAAGUGGGGGGAAAAGCCCCUAAUUUACAGGACUGUACAUUCUAUUGAGGGAAAUAGGAUAUAUAUAAAAAAUUAAAUACAAAAUAUAUACAGAGUAAUUUCCAGGAGUAGAAUUCUAUGGGUAGAAGGAAGGGUAAUAAAUAAAUAUAUACUCCCUGCAGGGCUAAAAGAAGAGGUGAAGUGUCAUUUAUGGGGAAUAGCAAGAAGACUAGUUUGGGGAGAACAUAGGUUGCAUGAAGGAGAAUAAUGAUCAGUGAGUCUAGAAAGGUAGUAUAAAACCAGAUUGUGAACAGUUUUAAAAAACCAAAAAAGUUUGUGUUUUAUCCUGGAAGCAACAAGCAAGCACUAGAGUUUUUUGAUCAGAAAAAUGAAAUGAUUAGACUUGUGAUUUAGGAACAUGUUGUCUUUUUGUUGUUGCUAUCCACUUCCCCCUCACGUUCUCUGCCACAAAAAUGCCCUUGUAUAAUAAAAAAUAGUUAUGCAAACUUAACCAACACAAUGAACAUAUCUGAUUAUACUUCCCAUCUCUACCAAAGGUAGGGAAGUAUAUUUCAUCAUUGUCUUUCUGAACCUAGCCAUCUUAAUUCUGAAUCCUUAUGUUGUUUUCAAUUAUAUAUUUCCUAUUAUUAGUGGAAGAUUGUACUCCUGAUUCUGCUUUCUUUGUUCUUCUUCAAAUGAUAUGAGUCUUCCCAUGUUUGACUUUGUUAUUUUUUUAUCUACCUCUAUAAAAUAACUCUUUGGUGUUUUGAUUGGUAUAGCACUAAACUUGUAGUUUAAUUUGAACAGUAUUGUCUUUUUUAUAUUGGUGUGAUUUAGCAAUAAAUAUUUAAAAGGUUUCUUUUAAGUUUUCCUUUAUUUCUAUAGAGUGUUUGGUAGGGUUGUGGGGAUUUUUUGUUUUGUUUUUGUUGUUUUUUAGUAUAAGACCUGAAUUUGUAAUUGAUGAUUAACUUCCAGGUAUUUUAAACAUUUUUAAACUUAUUUUGAAUACAAUUUAUUGUGUUUCAUUGAUUUUUGAUAGUCCUAUAUAUAAAUACUAAUGGGUUUUUUUGGAAAUGAGUUGUUAUUUUAUGGAUGCUUUUAAUUAUGUUAAUUUUUAUACUGAUUGUGCGUAUUUUAAAAAUAAACUUGAUCAUAUCAUCUGUAAAUAAGGAUCAUUUUAUUUCUUCUUUGCUAGUGCUUAGAUAUUUAAUGUCAAAUCUUAUUGCUAUAGAUAUUAUGCCAAACAAUUAUGGGGUCAAGAGACAGCUCUGGUUUAUUCUUUUAUUUCACAUAAAGUUUCUAAUAUGUCUCUUUUGCAAAUGAUACUAGUUCUUGGUUUUAAAUGUGUACCAUUGAUUUUAUUAAAGAAAGAUUAUUCACUGUUAAUUUUUUUGCUUUAAUUCUUAGAAGACUCCAUGACAUUAAGUGGAAUAAAUAAUUGUAUAUGUAGAGUGAUUCAUACAAUGAAGCUAUUGCAGGAUUUGUUCUCUUCAUAUUUGGAGUUCUUAUUAUUUUUGAGUUAUGGGAAGGAACUAAGAAGACAGGCAAAUAAACUAUUACACUAAGAACAGAUGUGUCAGCACUGAAACAAUCUACCAAUGAGAUUUCAAUGGCUGACUUGUAACCCAAAGUAAUCAAAAACAGAAAGGCCCCAUGUACACCAAGCAACACUGUAUGGUAGUAAAGAACUGGAGAUCAAGUGCAUUCUCAUCACAAGAGGUCAAGGUUGGGGGGCAACAGCUGUACUGUAACUGAAGACCACCUCAUGGCACCAGAAUAGCAGCAUAGUUACUGGGUGGAGAAUGGUACAACCCAGACACUUCACAGAAGGCAGUCUGGCAAUGCAGCUGAGGAUCCCAGCUCAAUAGAGCCGGCAAUUUGCAUGAUGGGAGAGAUAUCACAAAGACAACUGUUGGCUCUGUGGUUGUAGAUGUCAGUUAUUCCAGUCAGGUAAGUAUUCUGGUCACAGAUGUUCCCUAAGUAUGUGAAUAAAUGAAAAAAGCCUCUCAUAAGCACUUACUUUGUACUGAUAACUGAGCUAAAUUCUGGGGAUACAAAUAACAUAGGAUAGCAAGGCAGUGCUUGCUCUCAAGGAGUUUAUAUUCUAAAUGGGGAAGACAACAUAGGUAUCUGGGUUUAACUGAAAGGUGUACAGAAGAGUCCUGUGGUUCUAAGGAUGCCGUGUAAAAGCAUCCUAAUAGGGUGCAUUUGCAUGUGAGAAUGCAUUGCCUAGGGAUCUGGAGGAUAUAGUGACAGGAUGAACAGCCAAGUGGACUUUAGGGUUAGUGACAGGACAAAGGAUAAAUCUUCAUGGUCCUUCAUCAUACUGGAAAUUGUAUAUUUGAUGACUACUUGUUCCUCUCUGUGACAUGCUUGGCCAUGUCUGCCCAUGGCCCUCCAUAGCCAUGAAGGAUACUAGUUUACCAUUGAUGAGAAGGGGAAGCAUGAGUUUCAGAAUUAUAGUAGAGAAGGAACUCGGGAUUCUCACCUGCAUGAGUGGAGAUGGGAGAGGGGUUAGCAUCCAGUGAGGAGGUAGAAAGGGUUAAGGAGCAGAGAAAGGCAAGAAGAUUCCUCUAAGAAGGGGAAAAGAUUUUGUGUCUUCUUAUGACCCCAUGUAUUGCCUGGAUAUAUUCAACUAUUGAUAUGGUCAUUUAUGUCAGGGUAAACACCUUUGUCUAUAGAGGAUCUUUCUUGUUACUUAUUUUGCUAACCUAGUUAAAUGUCUUACAUUGUUUCAUUGGUAAGAGGAAGCCAGUAAAGGUUUGUAAUCUUCUGUAAAAACUUGGUCAAGGAAUAUAACUAACUGUUAUGUUCCAUUAUGAUAGAGAAAUGUUAUUAUUUUGUACCUGCAUAAUUCAAUAUGUAAGUAUAUAUGAAAACAACAGUUAUAUUGUCAUGUUGGAAUGUAACUAUUUAUUCUCACUUUCAAUAAUAAAAGAAAUCUAUUUUUUGCAGUUCAUAUCCUAUAUAUAUUCUGUAUUCUUUAUAAGAUAUUUCUUUUAAUCCCAACUUCUCAAAUAUACUUCAUGUAGUUUAAGUAUUAAAGAACUCAAUAGCAAUAUAUUAUAUUUUGAUAUUUUAUGAUGGAAUAGUAUUUUUAUAGUCCUUUAAAUAGUAACAUUUAUAUAAAUGCUUUCUUCACCUCAAUAUUGUUAUAUGGACAAGAUGUCAUACCAUUCCCAUUUUAUGGAUAAAGAAAUGGAGAAUUUAAUUGACUUUUCCAAGACUAUAUAACUAGCGAAUAUUCAAAACCACAUCCUUCGACUCCACAGCUAAUGCCUUUCCUCUCUACUACUCUGCUUUCUAUCAGUCAAUAAAAAUACUAAUUAUAGUCUUUUUAUUUUAGCACGCAUAUAUCCUUUGAUAUAUAUGAAAUACUGGAUCUUUUGAAAACAAGGUGAUUUCUGGGUAAAAAGGAAUGUUGGUUAACAUGACUAUAGUUGUACUCUCUUCUUUUCCCUUCUAAAUUUAAAAUAUAAAAUGCUGACAACUUUAUCACACAUUCACUGGGAAGCUAGAAAGAUUUUUGUAUUCCAAUGAUUGAAGUACAAUGUCAUAAUUAAAUCAUUACACCUUUCCUCAAACCAUUUAACGUUUAGAAUUCCCUAGAAUUCUGAAGCUUUUUGCUUUCCUAAAAUGCUUCUUUGCUGGAAAAUAAUAGCUAGUAUGUACACAGGCAGCACUUUCAGGUUUUCAUAUUGCUUUAAAAUAUUCUCUUUUAUUCUCACAACAAUCCAGGCAA